This 259-nucleotide long non-coding RNA is filed under the name Oryza brachyantha (malo sina). RNAcentral describes it as "long non-coding RNA (OBRA_LNC000870)". The record is from RNAcentral. Lineage: Eukaryota; Viridiplantae; Streptophyta; Magnoliopsida; Poales; Poaceae.
AGUGUGGUGUGGUGGAACCAGACUACCAGUGCCCUUCCCCCACUCCCUCCCUCCUCCUCCGCUCCGUUAUCCCCAAAACCCGCGCCGACGGGCCGCCCUCCCGACCUCCCCGCGCGCCGCCGCCUGCUCUCCAAUCUGCGUCCGGUCCCCCGCGCCGCAUUGCUCUCCAAUCUGUGUGGCGCGCUGAAUCUUGCGGAGUGAUUUGAUUGUUGGAGUUUCUUGAUUCUUGGUCCUCGCCGGCGGCGAGGGGCGGGCACCG